This 479-nucleotide ribosomal RNA is filed under the name uncultured organism. Its description in RNAcentral is "partial 16S ribosomal RNA". It matches the Rfam family "Bacterial small subunit ribosomal RNA", at positions 330 to 800 of the family's 1533-position model. The record is from RNAcentral.
CGUACACUCCUGCGGGAGGCAGCAGUGGGGAAUUUUGGACAAUGGGCGAAAGCCUGAUCCAGCCAUGCCGCGUGCAGGAUGAAGGCCUUCGGGUUGUAAACUGCUUUUGUACGGAACGAAACGGCCUUUUCUAAUAAAGAGGGCUAAUGACGGUACCGUAAGAAUAAGCACCGGCUAACUACGUGCCAGCAGCCGCGGUAAUACGUAGGGUGCAAGCGUUAAUCGGAAUUACUGGGCGUAAAGCGUGCGCAGGCGGUUAUGUAAGACAGUUGUGAAAUCCCCGGGCUCAACCUGGGAACUGCAUCUGUGACUGCAUAGCUAGAGUACGGUAGAGGGGGAUGGAAUUCCGCGUGUAGCAGUGAAAUGCGUAGAUAUGCGGAGGAACACCGAUGGCGAAGGCAAUCCCCUGGACCUGUACUGACGCUCAUGCACGAAAGCGUGGGGAGCAAACAGGAUUAGAGACCCCUGUAGUCCCAUGA